AAUUGGAGGGCAAGUCUGGUGCCAGCAGCCGCGGUAAUUCCAGCUCCAAUAGCGUAUAUUAAAGUUGUUGCAGUUAAAAAGCUCGUAGUUGAAUUUCGGGGUCAGUAGAUUGGUCGUGCCUCUGGUAUGUACUGGUCUUACUGGCUCCUCCUUCCUGAUGAACCGUAAUGCCAUUAAUUUGGUGUUGCGGGGAGACUGGACUGUUACUUUGAAAAAAUUAGAGUGUUUAAAGCAGGCUAACGCUUGAAUACAUUAGCAUGGAAUAAUGAAAUAGGACGUUCGAUCUUAUUUUGUUGGUUUCUAAGAUUGACGUAAUGAUUAAUAGGGAUAGUUGGGGGCAUUAGUAUUCAAUUGUCAGAGGUGAAAUUCUUGGAUUUAUUGAAGACUAACUACUGCGAAAGCAUUUGCCAAGGAUGUUUUCAUUAAUCAAGAACGAAAGUUAGGGGAUCGAAGACGAUCAGAUACCGUCGUAGUCUUAACCAUAAACUAUGCCGACUAGGGAUCGGAUGAUGUUAAUUUUUUAAUGACUCAUUCGGCGCCUUACGGGAAACCAAAGUGU
Molecule: ribosomal RNA, 559 nt
Filed under: uncultured Glomus
Lineage: Eukaryota; Fungi; Glomeromycota; Glomeromycetes; Glomerales; Glomeraceae
Description: SSU rRNA
Rfam family: Eukaryotic small subunit ribosomal RNA
Source: RNAcentral